Long non-coding RNA from Quercus lobata, 374 nucleotides. RefSeq lists it as uncharacterized. The record is from RefSeq and is a predicted model, not a curated record. NCBI's taxonomy places the organism in Eukaryota, Viridiplantae, Streptophyta, Magnoliopsida, Fagales, Fagaceae. The transcript is spliced from 2 exons.
AACUUUUGAUCUCCAAAAUCUCUCUCUCUCGCCUCUCAGUUGCUGUAGCACUGAAGCUGCUCAGUAUAGCAGUGCUCACUCUCCUACCAGUCCGCCACAAUACCGCCGAUAUGGGAAUCCGAUUGUGGUGGAGAAUACUGAGAGGGGAUAGUGGGAUCUCCAUAAGAUACGGGCAGUUUUUGGUUUUGGAAUAUGAUUUUUUUAAGAUAGUAUCUAUCUGAACUGUAGAAUUGUAAUCAAUGUCUCUCUCUUUCAAAUAUGUGGACUUUGUAAUAUGUGGUGUUUUGAUGUAUGUGUGGUUGUAGUACACAUUGAAAGAGAUUUGGACCCGGCUAUAAAAUAUUGUGUUUUGGUAUAAUCUAUAUUUUUGUUGU